This 393-nucleotide ribosomal RNA is filed under the name uncultured bacterium. RNAcentral's name for it is "partial 16S ribosomal RNA". It matches the Rfam family "Bacterial small subunit ribosomal RNA", at positions 523 to 918 of the family's 1533-position model. The record is from RNAcentral.
AUACGGAGGAUCCGAGCGUUAUCCGGAUUUAUUGGGUUUAAAGGGAGCGUAGGCGGACGCUUAAGUCAGUUGUGAAAGUUUGCGGCUCAACCGUAAAAUUGCAGUUGAUACUGGGUGUCUUGAGUACAGUAGAGGUGGGCGGAAUUCGUGGUGUAGCGGUGAAAUGCUUAGAUAUCACGAAGAACUCCGAUUGCGAAGGCAGCUCACUGGACUGCAACUGACACUGAUGCUCGAAAGUGUGGGUAUCAAACAGGAUUAGAUACCCUGGUAGUCCACACAGUAAACGAUGAAUACUCGCUGUUUGCGAUAUACAGUAAGCGGCCAAGCGAAAGCAUUAAGUAUUCCACCUGGGGAGUACGCCGGCAACGGUGAAACUCAAAGGAAUUGACGGGG